This 326-nucleotide unclassified non-coding RNA is filed under the name Hevea brasiliensis (rubber tree). The record is from RNAcentral. Lineage: Eukaryota; Viridiplantae; Streptophyta; Magnoliopsida; Malpighiales; Euphorbiaceae.
CUUUUUAAGUGCUACUUGGUUCCUCCUCUUCAACUUCAGAUGCAUUAGUUUCCAUCUUCUCAAACUUUGCAACUCGAAAAAUCGCCAAAUUAGUAUCCCCAAACGUCACGAGACUUCCAGGCAAUGCAGCAGCAGCCACACCAGGUACGAGCCUUUUCUCACCGAUGAAAGUACCAUUCGUGCUGUCUAAAUCUGUCACUACGAGAUAGUCCUCCAUGUUCUGCAGCCGAGCAUGUAUUGCAGAUACUGUAGGCACCGGAAUGACUACAUCAGCCUUAUCAGCAACGCGUCCAACAAUUACUGCACCGGAAGGUAUUUCAAGAGAG